RNAcentral lists this ribosomal RNA (253 nucleotides) under uncultured bacterium. RNAcentral describes it as "partial 16S ribosomal RNA". It matches the Rfam family "Bacterial small subunit ribosomal RNA", at positions 524 to 776 of the family's 1533-position model. The record is from RNAcentral.
UACGUAGGGUGCAAGCGUUGUUCGGAAUUACUGGGCGUAAAGGGCUCGUAGGCGGCCAACUAAGUCAGACGUGAAAUCCCUCGGCUUAACCGGGGAACUGCAUCUGAUACUGGAUGGCUUGAGUUCGGGAGAGGGAUGCGGAAUUCCAGGUGUAGCGGUGAAAUGCGUAGAUAUCAGGAGGAACACCGGUGGCGAAGGCGGCUCUCUGGACCACAACUGACGCUGAGGCGCGAAAGCUAGGGGAGCAAACAGG